This is a long non-coding RNA of Mytilus californianus (California mussel), 222 nucleotides long. RefSeq lists it as uncharacterized. The record is from RefSeq and is a predicted model, not a curated record. The transcript is spliced from 3 exons. NCBI's taxonomy places the organism in Eukaryota, Metazoa, Mollusca, Bivalvia, Mytilida, Mytilidae.
ACGCCCAUUCAAGAUUAAAAAAAGGAAGGUGAAACCUACUCUCUCUUCUCCUUUAACGCCCAUUCAAGAUUAAAAAAAGGAAGGUGAAACCUACUCUCUCUUCUCCUUUAACGCCCAUUCAAGAUUAAAAAAAGGAAGGUUAAACCUACUCUCACUUCUCCUUUAACGCCCAUUCAAGAUUAAAAAAAGGAAGGUUAAACCUACUCUCACCUCUCCUUUAAC